Long non-coding RNA from Panthera uncia (snow leopard), 1505 nucleotides. RefSeq lists it as uncharacterized. The record is from RefSeq and is a predicted model, not a curated record. The transcript has 3 exons. NCBI's taxonomy places the organism in Eukaryota, Metazoa, Chordata, Mammalia, Carnivora, Felidae.
AAUUGGGCAAUUUUUAAAAGCCCAGGCCUCCAGAUUUGUGUUCUGUACACUUGAACUUUAAUGAACUUUUCUUCCUUUUCAGAUAGGCUAAGAACACCUCUACACCUCAUCAUGAGUCACCUAGGGACAAGGGGAGCCUUUCAAGCGCAGUCAUCUAUUGUUUCCUGGAGCUGAGCAUAUGUGAUGAGAACAGCCUUGGUCAGAACCAUGCAGCCGCCGAAUAGUCUUUGUGUCACAGGAGUGGAACGCUUGGAUUUUAGUCACCUUCUUUACUUGGAUAAGCCACAGAAACAAAAGCUAAACCUGGUGCGUAGCCAUGGUUCAGUUCACCCAUGAUAGGCCCUGAGAAGUUAGCCUUGGUUUCAGAUAUGUGUAAGUAAGCCAUGGUGAUUUGAAAUUGGGGAGAAUGAGAUGUGGUUGAUGACAUUUCCUGAGGAUCUGUUGAGUAAGCGGGAGACUCAUGUUUCUAAGGAGCAUUCGGUUACUUCAGGUCAAAGAGAUUUGCAUGAGAAAUUUGUGCACCUGGAAAUAUAAAUUGCACGCUUAAUAAUUGCAUGUGCAGUAAGGGAAGUUUUAUUAAGGCCUUGAGGAAGAUUGGACUCACUGGCCAUAUGUGCUAACAGCAGUGAGGAGAAAACACGGGUCUAGUUGAAAGGGAUUACAAUCUGGGUUUAGAGCAGGUGGGCGCUAGGAUUCGGAACAUUCUGACGAUGAGACCAGGAGGUAGAGCUGGGAAGGGCGUCUGGGCUAAAUGAGCAGCAGCAGAAAUCCAGUGCUUUUCCUUUUUAUGUGAAACACUCAAGUUUUGUGGGGAAGAUUAAGCCUGAGAAAUCUAAGAACAGUUUGACUAGUUACACUCUGGAAAUCUGGCAAGAGGAAAGGUGAGUGAUUAAGGUGGUUUCGGUCUAGCCCAUAGUGCUCAGCACUCUUUGGCACUGCUUGGUUUGGCAAAAUUGUUAACACCCUUCUGGAGGGAAGCUUGGGGCUGAGAGAUUAAGGGCAUUACAGGUCAAAGGUUGACUGUGUUAAUGUAUUUAUUUGGGAAACCAUACAAAAGCCCUUAUUAACCUUGGCUUUUGGAGACCGGGGUUGUCAAUCCUUCACUUUCGUGAUCCCAUUUUCACCUAAAAAUGUUUUUGAGCAGCCCAGUAUCAAAACAGAAUCUAUGUACCUCAGGUAGAAACAUGUUGAAUUGCGUGGUACCUGGAAUAAAUACUACGGACACUGGCAUCUUCGUUGGUUAGCUACCUAUCACGUGAGCUAUUCUUUCGUUCCUAUAAAUUUCGUUACUAUUUCAGGAGAGAAGGUAAGUUAUUUUUCAAAAAUAGGGUGGAAGGAAUGUUCUCUAUUAUUAAAAAAAAAAUUCCUCUUUCAAAAUGAAGCUUUCAGAUUCCUAAUCAUUUAGGGGAGCACUGUCUACCUGAAAAAAAAAAUACGAGGUGUCUUUUAGUCUCAGGGGGGUUUAGCAACAAACCAUUAUUGUUUGCAGGCUGAUUGUUCUGAGA